CGGGUGAGUAACGCGUGGGUAACCUGCCUUGUACAGGGGGAUAACAGUUGGAAACGGCUGCUAAUACCGCAUAAGCGCACGGCAUCGCAUGAUGCAGUGUGAAAAACUCCGGUGGUAUAAGAUGGACCCGCGUUGGAUUAGCUAGUUGGUGAGGUAACGGCCCACCAAGGCGACGAUCCAUAGCCGACCUGAGAGGGUGGCCGGCCACAUUGGGACUGAGACACGGCCCAA
This 231-nucleotide ribosomal RNA is filed under the name uncultured bacterium. RNAcentral's name for it is "partial 16S ribosomal RNA". It matches the Rfam family "Bacterial small subunit ribosomal RNA", at positions 103 to 334 of the family's 1533-position model. The record is from RNAcentral.